RNAcentral lists this ribosomal RNA (253 nucleotides) under uncultured bacterium. RNAcentral's name for it is "partial 16S ribosomal RNA". It matches the Rfam family "Bacterial small subunit ribosomal RNA", at positions 524 to 776 of the family's 1533-position model. The record is from RNAcentral.
UACGGGGGGGGCAAGCGUUGUCCGGAAUUAUUGGGCGUAAAGAGCUCGUAGGCGGUUUGUUGCGUCGGCCGUGAAAACCUGCAGCUUAACUGUGGGCCUGCGGCCGAUACGGGCAGACUUGAGUUCGGUAGGGGAGACUGGAAUUCCUGGUGUAGCGGUGAAAUGCGCAGAUAUCAGGAGGAACACCGGUGGCGAAGGCGGGUCUCUGGGCCGAUACUGACGCUGAGGAGCGAAAGCGUGGGGAGCGAACAGG